RNAcentral lists this ribosomal RNA (254 nucleotides) under uncultured prokaryote. Its description in RNAcentral is "partial 16S ribosomal RNA". It matches the Rfam family "Bacterial small subunit ribosomal RNA", at positions 524 to 777 of the family's 1533-position model. The record is from RNAcentral.
UACGGAGGAUGCGAGCGUUAUCCGGAUUUAUUGGGUUUAAAGGGUGCGUAGGCGGCUUUUUAAGUCAGCGGUGAAAUUUUGCAGCUUAACUGUAACAGUGCCGUUGAUACUGGGGAGCUAGGAUUUGGUUGCUGUGGGUGGAAUGUGUGGUGUAGCGGUGAAAUGCUUAGAGAUCACACAGAAUAUCGAUUGCGAAGGCAGCUCAGAAAGCCAAGAUUGACGCUGAGGCACGAAAGUGUGGGGAUCAAACAGGA